AAUGGCUCUGACGGCACCUUGCAAUCUACGGCGGUGAACGAGUAUCUAAACGCGAGUGGCAUUCCUCUCUUGCUUGCGUUACGCCUGUGAAAUCCGACAGCGGUGGCAGCAUGUCGUCCGAUCCGCCUUCAACCGAACGCUCGCCGACUGAUGCGGAAGGAGCGGUUUGCCUCUUGCUUGCGGUGCGCCUGUGAAACGUGACAACGGUGGCAGCAUGUCGUCCGAUCCGGCUUAAACUGAACGUUCGCCGACUGGUGCGGAAGAAGCGGCUUGCCUCGUUUCGCAGGGGCCAUCAAAGAAAAUCGUGAAGCUCACAGGCGCCCGGAAACUCGCCGACCUCCACGAAAGCCUGCGGACGGGAGGGUUCGUGUACCUGAUGACAGGCAACGAUCUUCUAAUACAGGCUGUCUGGUAGUGCGGUUGGACAUGCGGAGAAUGCAGUCAAAGGACAGUACAAGGAAUUGUCAACGUACACACUGCCUCUGAUGCCCAUUGACGUUGCUGCACACCUCUGAAAUAUUACAGCAGGAGGCGUGCCUGACAAUCUUCAAAAAAAUUGAAUGGAUUGCCUACAAUUCGUCAUCUCAGACAAUGUACCCAAAUAAAUUGUGCAAUGUUGCUGCAAGGAGCCUCGUAAACCAGUACCCAGCACUGAGGGACACAUUGCACCUUGGCCAUUUCUCAUGUUAUAUGUGCCUAAGAAACAAGUACAAAAACAUGCGAAAGUGAAUGCCACCAGGAUGCCCUGAAGUCGAUGCAGAAGUGAAAGCAAGAAAGGCAAGCG
Molecule: long non-coding RNA, 784 nt
Organism: Dermacentor andersoni
Lineage: Eukaryota; Metazoa; Arthropoda; Arachnida; Ixodida; Ixodidae
Source: RefSeq, a predicted model, not a curated record